CAUGCUUUUGAAGAAGGCUGGUACUUCCCCGGUGGUCGACAUGCCUUGCCGGUGACGUUGGGGCGGAUUGGGACUGCGAGGUUUCUUGUAGGGUGUGUUUUAUGGCACAAGGUUUGAGGUCAUGAGGCGUUCAGCACCGCGGAGAGCUCCCCCCAAAAGUCACACCCAGCCAGCAGUGAGCGGCGCUGUCCCUUCAGCACCAAGCGGGUUCUGGUCGUCUCAGGCGCGCGUGUGGCACCGGACAGGUACAGAGGACGUCAUGAACAAAGGAACCAGUCCGAGACAUAAACACAAGAAAGCCUCCGGUUUGAAAGCCCACGUUAAAAGGUCUCCACUGCCGGAUGGAUAACUAGCAGGCAUGCCAAAACUCAGAUGGUGCAGAUGAAACUCUCAUUUCUUCUCCAUGGAAGACAGGUGGAAGCGAGUAAGAAGAUGAAAGACAAACGGGACGAACCCGCCUGCCAACAGGAAAGGACAUUUCUGUCACGCACUAAAGACAAAUGACUUUUUCCAUAUUUCAUGGCUUCGUGUGACUGCAAUCCGAGCUGCUCAGUUCGUUGACUUUAUAAAUAAAGCAAGAACGCAGCUGAUGUUUUAACAUUUGUAACAGCUGUAGGGAUGCAGCUCAUCAUGCAGAUGAGCACCACAAGCAGACUGAAUUAUGAGGCAUCAUUGGUACACUGUCACCACUCUGUCUGCAGCUGAUGUAAAGCAGCUGCAGUGUGGUGCCGCUGGAUUCUGAGGAGACGAGGAGGAAAAAGUCUCCUCACCAGAGGGAUGGAGAUGUAGCCGGCCACCACCCUGUAACCCAUGGUAACGCCAUCAACUGCAGUGGGAGGAGCAGAGUUGCUCACCGUGUCCGGAUUGGCCAGGAACAGGUGUUCUGAGGUUCCAUGUAGGGAGGGUGAGGCAGGGCUCAGUGUGUGUGUGUGUUCAGAUCAGUGACAUAAUUGAUAAUCAACAUUAUUAUCAGAGCUUUGUCUGUUCUUGGGAAUGAAAACACUCUCUUUUGCACUUUGCUCUUCCUUUAUGUUAUGAAUUAUUAGAUGCAGACUUUCCAUAUCUUGACCACCUAAUACCUUUAAUUUACACAUUCAUUUUUGAAAUGUCAAUAACAAAACCUUCACUUGUGUCUGGGGCGUUUUUGUAAAAGAGGAUUGUUCAAAUGUGAUUAGUACCUCUAAAUCUUGAAGGAAACAUUCAUUUUGGGAAGGAUUUCCAUUUUUUCCUGUUGAGUGUUGGAUGUGGAGAUGGACUGACGACUGACUCAUGUCAUCCAUACAGCAGCCACUUAGCUUAGCAUAAAGCCUAAAAGCAAGGAGGACGUGUCGGCCUGCGGGUCAGUACCUCCAGCAGGCUUCUGCUUUCAUGUUCUUGUCUUUUUGUCGGUCAGAUUGGGUCUCUUGUUUUACGUUGAUCUUGCAAUGUAAUUUGAAGUUUAACUGCUUGUGCCGACGGUCUGCUUAUCAAGUUCUGCGUGUUACUGUCCUUUUAAUGGACAAUUUAAGAUAUAAUCAAGGGACAUACUGUUGAAAACAACUUAUUGGCUAACAACUGUCAAAUUCACAGUUAUGUUGAUUCAUGUUGAUUCUGCCUCAAUGUGAUGGGAAGCUAAGUUGUUUAUUUAAUCUGUACAGAAAUCAAAUUAUAAAAACUAUGUGUGAUGUG
Molecule: non-coding RNA, 1668 nt
Organism: Gasterosteus aculeatus aculeatus (three-spined stickleback)
Lineage: Eukaryota; Metazoa; Chordata; Actinopteri; Perciformes; Gasterosteidae
Source: RefSeq, a predicted model, not a curated record